This is a non-coding RNA of Salvia hispanica, 2169 nucleotides long. Lineage: Eukaryota; Viridiplantae; Streptophyta; Magnoliopsida; Lamiales; Lamiaceae. The record is from RefSeq and is a predicted model, not a curated record.
CAAGAACAUUUCUUGUUUGUAAAAAUUCCCUUAUGUUGCCUAAUUUUUGUUAAUAUUAUUAUGUGUGGCUUGAAUCUUAUGUGUAUGUUAUUAUGAGAAGUGCCUUUAUUGGCCCUUUUGUGAUCAACCCUGAUUAUUAUGUUUCAUAAUGUUAGUGAAAAUCCAAUCUUGUUUUAAUCAAAUCCCUAUUUUUUUACAUUAAUGGUAUCCUAAAUCUUGAUUCCUUCUGGCUUCGCUAUCUGGUUGUAAAAAAUCCCUUAUGUUGCCUAAUUUUUGUUUAUAUUAAUUGGUGUGGCUUGAAUCUUAUGUGUAGAUUAUGAUGACUGUUGCUUUAGUAUUUCUGACACCUCUUGUAUGAGAAGAGCCUUUAUUGGCCCUUUUGUGAGCACACAAAGCAUCUAUCUACCCUGAUUAUCUUGUUUAAUAAUGUUAAUGGAAAUCAGUCUUGUUUUAAAAAGAUCCAACCUUUUUUUGUUAUUAAUGGUUUCACAAAUAUUGAUUCCUUUUGGCUUCGCUAUCUGGUUGUUGGAUUUAAACUUAGUAUCCUGCCAACUCGUUCCCUAGAAGCAAUAGUAGUUGUGUUGCUCUGUUUUCAUCACUCCAUCUUCUUCUUGUUUUGGUUGAUGGAGAUCAAUUGGGCAGCUACAUUUUCCUUAACUUUUAAUCCAUAUAUUUGAAAUGAAAUGGCGAUGAUGAACACUAUUUACAGUUUCACAGACCUGUAAUGAUUGCGGAUGUGAUCGCUUUUAUUGAACAUCUAAGGGACUGAGCCAUUUCUUACUCUAUUCAAAAUUUAUGUAAAUGUUUGUGCUUUACUCGGAUUUUUAUGCUGUCACACAUGAUACAGUGGUUAUGUGGCGCUUGUUAUAAGUGAAGCUAUAUAAAUAUGUUCUCCUCGCUAUCCAGUGGUGCUUCUGAUGGCUCAUUUGGACGUUGGUGAACUACAUACUUUGUCUCUUCAUUCUGUCUAUCUUCUCUUUAUUAUCGUCUUUAAUUUUGUAGAAUUUUGGACUAUGAUGAAUUGUGAUUGGUCUCGUUCGUCGUAAUGGCAUAUUGUUGUGCCUUGCCGACCAUACUGAUAUAUCACCACCCAUAAACCGAGUCCUUUCAAUUCAAAAUUUUCUAUUUUGGUAUUUGUAUCUGAUUUAUGGUAAAUUUCUUAUCAUAUUUUUGAAACUUGAAGCUGCAGUCUAUGAUGAUUUUAGUGGAAUUCAUUAAUGAUUAUCAUUGAUUACGAACACACUACUGCCUUCCUUCUGAGGCUUGCUUCUUUCAAUUUGAAUUCAAUUUUGUUGGCUAUUGGAUCAGUUUUUUGGAAAUUUAUUUUAUUUUAUUGGUCAAGUGAUGAUUAAAUGCAUAGUUCAAAUGACUUAUCCCUGAUUAUAAUAAUCUUUAGUCUUUCGCUCCUAUCUGAUGGCCUUUGAUCAAUGUUUUCUUAAAUUAUUUUUAUUGUUGUAAUUUUCUUUGUGGCCUAUGAUUAAAAUUCAUUUAUUGACAAGCAUAUGUCUGAAUAUCAUGUGUAGACAUUCUAAUCUUCUCAAUGAGGCCACAUUUAUUGUUUUCAAUUCCUGAUUUUGUCAUAGAAAGAUUUAUCUUUUAAAUUAUUUUGAGUGGAAAUUCAGGCAACCUCCUUCUGUCUUGAGAAAAGAAUGGGAAGGAAGGUGUUUAUCUGCUCAUAAAAAGACCUUUUGCUCUUCAGACUUGCUGAGUUUUUCCUUGAAGCUGGUCUAGUUGUGGUUGGAGAUCAAUGCGACAACUACAAUUUUUUCGUGUUAAUUUAUAUACGCAGAUGAAAUGGCGAUGAUGAACACUUGUUUACAGUUUCACAGACCUGUAAUGAUUGCGGAUAUGAUCGCUUCUAUUGAACAUCUAAGGGACUGAGCCAUUUCCUAUUGAACAUCUAUUGAACACUCUUUUACAGGUUUAAUAUUUUCAUGCCUGUUUAUAAUUCUUGGUUGUUUGUUGGAUGUCUUUCUAGGAGAAGUAGAUGGCAGCAGUGUAGUGCAAUAUGAAGGAGGAUAUUGUGAAGGACUGUAUUUUACAAAUUUAUUUGAAUAUGAAAAAUAAUGUUAUAGUAUAUGUAGAUUUGGAUCCUUUUUUAAUUCUGGAUUGAAGAUUGUUGUCAAUAAUUAGUUUCAAGAUUAAUGUCAGCUAUAGCCAUCACUUGCA